AUGCAUAUUUAUUUAAAUUAUAGAAAAAUCAUAGAAAUAAAAGGUGUUGAAAGUAAUAAUAAUAACUCUGUAGGAUUAUUCACAAAAAGUGGUAUAUCAGAAUUUAUAAAUAUAGUGUCAGGAAAUUUAUAUUUUAUAAAAAUAUUAAAAAAUAAAUUAAUAGAUUCAAAUGACACAGAUGGAAAAAAUGGAACAGAUGUUUAUAAAAGUGAAUUUUUACAAAGCUAUCGUUUCUCCAAAAAAAUAAUUAAGGAUGAUUUGAGUGUAUAUGAAAUACCAUAUACAACAAAUAAAGAUUAUGACGAUGCGAACAUGAUAAACUCGGUUGGAGAUUUAUAUCCUGUACCAGAUUCUGACACAUAUUACAACAAAUUAAAUAAAAAAAAUACAUUUAAUUUUUCUAAUAAUCAAAAUAAUACAGAAAAGGGACAAAAUUUAUGUAAAACGUAUACUAGCAAAAAUUUUAAUUUGUAUGAUUGGGUAAAUGGUAAUAAUAACAACAACAACAACAACAACAACAACAACAACAACAACAACAACAAUAGUGACAAUAAUAAUGAUAGUAUAUAUAACUGGAAAGUUAUAAACGAAUUUGGUAUAAGCAGAUUAAUAUAUUUCAACAAUUACAAAAACAUGAAAAUUGAAUCAUCAUUGAUUUAUAAAUUAAGUUCAUGUAAUUCUUAUAAAUUAUCAUCCUAUAUAAAAUUAGAAAAUAAUAGUGAAGCUGGUUUAUUAUUUAGAUAUAACAAUUCAAAUAAUAUGUAUAUAUUAACAAUAUCAGUUGAUACGAAAAAUAUAGUACUAAAAAAAUAUCAAAAUAAUAAAAAAACUAUUCUUAAAAGUAUAUAUAUACCAACAAUUAAUACUUUUCGAAGACAUCAUUUAGUGAUAGAUGACCAAGGACAAACAGGAAUUAUUAGUAUAUCCCUUGACGAAGAAAAUAUUUUUUCUAUAAAUAAUCAAAAUAAUUACAAGUCAGGAUUUGUAGGAUUUUUUGUCGAAUAUGGAUAUGCAAUAUAUGAUACGUUUAAAUUCGAGCCAACUAAUUCGACUAAGCCGACUAAGACAAACACAUCAUAA
Piliocolobus tephrosceles (Ugandan red Colobus) is the source of this 1080-nucleotide long non-coding RNA. NCBI's taxonomy places the organism in Eukaryota, Metazoa, Chordata, Mammalia, Primates, Cercopithecidae. The record is from Ensembl.